This 254-nucleotide ribosomal RNA is filed under the name uncultured bacterium. RNAcentral describes it as "partial 16S ribosomal RNA". It matches the Rfam family "Bacterial small subunit ribosomal RNA", at positions 524 to 776 of the family's 1533-position model. The record is from RNAcentral.
UACGUAGGGUGCAAGCGUUUGUCCGGAAUUAUUGGGCGUAAAGAGCUCGUAGGCGGUUUGUCGCGUCUGCUGUGAAAACUCGGGGCUCAACCCCGGGCCUGCAGUGGGUACGGGCAGACUAGAGUGCGGUAGGGGAGACUGGAAUUCCUGGUGUAGCGGUGAAAUGCGCAGAUAUCAGGAGGAACACCGGUGGCGAAGGCGGGUCUCUGGGCAGUAACUGACGCUGAGGAGCGAAAGCGUGGGGAGCGAACAGG